RNAcentral lists this unclassified non-coding RNA (293 nucleotides) under fungal sp. Its description in RNAcentral is "partial internal transcribed spacer region". The stretch from base 1 to 46 matches the Rfam family "Eukaryotic small subunit ribosomal RNA", at positions 1786 to 1831 of the family's 1831-position model. Lineage: Eukaryota; Fungi. The record is from RNAcentral.
AAGUCGUAACAAGGUUUCCGUAGGUGAACCUGCGGAAGGAUCAUUAACACAAUUUUACUGUGAUAAAUCCGUUGAAUUCUCACGAAUUCAAUGGUAUCCACCCCAUUAUUGACGAACUUUUCUAGAUGUUUUCAAAAACAUAGAGCUUAGUCUUUAGGUUUUUACAACAUUCUAAACCUUUUUCUUUACCCACACACAUUUAAACCCCUUUUACAACAUGUCUUAGACUGAAUGAAAAAUUUCUAUCAAAAAAUUGAUAAAAACAACUUUUAACAACGGAUAUCUUGGCUCUC